Mizuhopecten yessoensis (Yesso scallop) is the source of this 547-nucleotide long non-coding RNA. RefSeq lists it as uncharacterized. The record is from RefSeq and is a predicted model, not a curated record. The transcript is spliced from 4 exons. Lineage: Eukaryota; Metazoa; Mollusca; Bivalvia; Pectinida; Pectinidae.
UGGGAAACUGGCACACAGACCUGUGAUCUGAUUGACUGCGGACAUCUGCCCGCGUUGCCACGUGGUCAUUGGGUUGCAAAUGCAACAACUUUUGGGCAAAGAGCUAAACUCGCGUGCGAGGAAGGACGACAACCAAAGGGGAUAACAACCAUCACGUGUGGACUCAGUGGGAAAUGGAAUAACGGCACACACACAUGUGAUCUUGUCAACUGUGGUCCCCCACCAAGUGUAGCCAAUGGGCAGUGGACUGGCAGAGUUUACACCUGGGGUUCGGUGGUCAGACUGCGUUGUGACCCCGGAAGAACACUCGUCGGAAACCUCACAAUAAACUGCACAGCCCAAGGACAGUGGUCAAGUGAUGGGCAGACUUGUGUCGAUGUUGAUUGUGGAAACCUGACUUCGGUUUCGUAUGGACAGUGGAUCAGUAAUGGAACAACAUUCGGUCAUACGGCCUCAUUGAAGUGUGAGAGAGGGAGACAGCCAAGUGGUCACGGGAACGUCACGUGUGGACACAGAGGAACGUGGGAUGACGACAAACAGACUUGUG